ACGAACGCUGGCGGCGUGCUUAACACAUGCAAGUCGAACGGAAAGGCCCUGCUUGUGUGGGGUGCUCGAGUGGCGAACGGGUGAGUAACACGUGAGUAACCUGCCCUUGACUUUGGGAUAACUUCAGGAAACUGGGGCUAAUACCGGAUAGGAGCUCCUGCUGCAUGGUGGGGGUUGGAAAGUUUCGGCGGUUGGGGAUGGACUCGCGGCUUAUCAGCUUGUUGGUGGGGUAGUGGCUUACCAAGGCUUUGACGGGUAGCCGGCCUGAGAGGGUGACCGGCCACAUUGGGACUGAGAUACGGCCCAGACUCCUACGGGAGGCAGCAGUGGGGAAUAUUGCACAAUGGGCGGAAGCCUGAUGCAGCAACGCCGCGUGCGGGAUGACGGCCUUCGGGUUGUAACCCGCUUUCGCCUGUGACGAAGCGUGAGUGACGGUAAUGGGUAAAGAAGCACGGGCUAACUACGUG
RNAcentral lists this ribosomal RNA (467 nucleotides) under uncultured bacterium. Its description in RNAcentral is "partial 16S ribosomal RNA". It matches the Rfam family "Bacterial small subunit ribosomal RNA", at positions 29 to 507 of the family's 1533-position model. The record is from RNAcentral.